The sequence is a ribosomal RNA, 2120 nucleotides long. It matches the Rfam family "Bacterial large subunit ribosomal RNA".
AAGCUUUGAUCCGAAGAUUUCCGAAUGGGGAAACCCACUAUACGUAAUGGUAUGGUAUCCUUACCUGAAUACAUAGGGUAUGGAAGACAGACCCAGGGAACUGAAACAUCUAAGUACCUGGAGGAAGAGAAAGCAAAUGCGAUUUCCUGAGUAGCGGCGAGCGAAACGGAAUCUAGCCCAAACCAAGAGGCUUGCCUCUUGGGGUUGUAGGACAUUCUAUACGGAGUUACAAAGGAACGAGGUAGACGAAGCGACCUGGAAAGGUCCGUCACAGAGGGUAAUAACCCCGUAGUCGAAACUUCGUUCUCUCUUGAAUGUAUCCUGAGUACGGCGGAACACGUGAAAUUCCGUCGGAAUCUGGGAGGACCAUCUCCCAAGGCUAAAUACUCCCUAGUGAUCGAUAGUGAACCAGUACCGUGAGGGAAAGGUGAAAAGCACCCCGGAAGGGGAGUGAAAGAGAUCCUGAAACCGUGUGCCUACAAAUAGUCAGAGCCCGUUAAUGGGUGAUGGCGUGCCUUUUGUAGAAUGAACCGGCGAGUUACGAUCCCGUGCGAGGUUAAGCUGAAGAGGCGGAGCCGCAGCGAAAGCGAGUCUGAAUAGGGCGUUUAGUACGUGGUCGUAGACCCGAAACCAGGUGAUCUACCCAUGUCCAGGGUGAAGUUCAGGUAACACUGAAUGGAGGCCCGAACCCACGCACGUUGAAAAGUGCGGGGAUGAGGUGUGGGUAGCGGAGAAAUUCCAAUCGAACCUGGAGAUAGCUGGUUCUCCCCGAAAUAGCUUUAGGGCUAGCCUUAAGUGUAAGAGUCUUGGAGGUAGAGCACUGAUUGAACUAGGGGUCCUCAUCGGAUUACCGAAUUCAGUCAAACUCCGAAUGCCAAUGACUUAUCCUUAGGAGUCAGACUGCGAGUGAUAAGAUCCGUAGUCAAGAGGGAAACAGCCCAGAUCGCCAGCUAAGGUCCCAAAGUGUGUAUUAAGUGGAAAAGGAUGUGGAGUUGCUUAGACAACUAGGAUGUUGGCUCAGAAGCAGCCACCAUUUAAAGAGUGCGUAAUAGCUCACUAGUCGAGUGACUCUGCGCCGAAAAUGUACCGGGGCUAAAUACACCACCGAAGCUGCGAAUUGAUACCAAUGGUAUCAGUGGUAGGGGAGCGUUCUAAGUGCAGUGAAGUCAGACCGGAAGGACUGGUGGAGCGCUUAGAAGUGAGAAUGCCGGUAUGAGUAGCGAAAGACGGGUGAGAAUCCCGUCCACCGAAUGCCUAAGGUUUCCUGAGGAAGGCUCGUCCGCUCAGGGUUAGUCAGGACCUAAGCCGAGGCCGACAGGCGUAGGCGAUGGACAACAGGUUGAUAUUCCUGUACCACCUCUUUAUCGUUUGAGCAAUGGAGGGACGCAGAAGGAUAGAAGAAGCGUGCGAUUGGUUGUGCACGUCCAAGCAGUUAGGCUGAUAAGUAGGCAAAUCCGCUUAUCGUGAAGGCUGAGCUGUGAUGGGGAAGCUCCUUAUGGAGCGAAGUCUUUGAUUCCCCGCUGCCAAGAAAAGCUUCUAGCGAGAUAAAAGGUGCCUGUACCGCAAACCGACACAGGUAGGCGAGGAGAGAAUCCUAAGGUGUGCGAGAGAACUCUGGUUAAGGAACUCGGCAAAAUGACCCCGUAACUUCGGGAGAAGGGGUGCUUUCUUAACGGAAAGCCGCAGUGAAUAGGCCCAAGCGACUGUUUAGCAAAAACACAGGUCUCUGCGAAGCCGUAAGGCGAAGUAUAGGGGCUGACACCUGCCCGGUGCUGGAAGGUUAAGGAGAACUGCGAGUGAUAAAGAACGUCGUGAGACAGUUCGGUCCCUAUCCGUCGUGGGCGCAGGAAAUUUGAGAGGAGCUGUCCUUAGUACGAGAGGACCGGGAUGGACGCACCGCUGGUGUACCAGUUGUUCUGCCAAGGGCAUAGCUGGGUAGCUAUGUGCGGAAGGGAUAAGUGCUGAAAGCAUCUAAGCAUGAAGCCCCCCUCAAGAUGAGAUUUCCCAUAGCGUAAGCUAGUAAGAUCCCUGAAAGAUGAUCAGGUUGAUAGGUUCGAGGUGGAAGCAUGGUGACAUGUGGAGCUGACGAAUACUAAUAGAUCGAGGACUUAACCAUAUAA